CAGGGGGACCCGCGCUGGAUCGUGGAGGAGCGGGAGGACGGGACCAACGUGAACAACUGGCACUGGUGCGGCCGGGCGGGGGCCAGGGCUGC
Molecule: microRNA precursor, 92 nt
Filed under: Sus scrofa (pig)
Lineage: Eukaryota; Metazoa; Chordata; Mammalia; Artiodactyla; Suidae
Also listed under: 1 other name
Description: microRNA ssc-mir-9811 precursor
Source: miRBase by way of RNAcentral